GGAAGCCUGCCUUUUCAUUAAACACCAGAGACCUUCCAGCAGACCUUCCCUCAGCCACAGGACUGGGAGAGAGAAGAGAAAAAAGGCUUCCUCCUGAGCCAGAGAUGUGGCAAGACGGGGAAAAAGUGCCAUGAGGGCCUGGUGCAGCAGGGCACAGUGCCAGCGGAGCAGCAACCAGCACAGGCUGAGAGCGGCUCUGCAGCAGCAGUGGCAGCUGUUGCUCCUGCUCACAGUGGGGAUCUGUCUGUUCCGUAGGUGCUCUGCGAGAGACAACAUUUACUGGUGAACAUACGCGCCCGUCCCUGGCUGCUAAGGACAGCGAGACAGCAGGAGCAUACCUGCUUUGGCAGAACUCGUUACUGGAGGUGCUGAAGUCCAAGAUUGCCUCUCAGGUCAAGCAAAGAAAAAAACGUUCCACCUCCUCAAAUGAGAUGUCUGCUGGCCUCCUCUCCGGGCUUGCUUUUCCAACGUUAGCAGAAGGAAAU
This is a long non-coding RNA of Oxyura jamaicensis (ruddy duck), 485 nucleotides long. RefSeq lists it as uncharacterized. The record is from RefSeq and is a predicted model, not a curated record. The transcript has 3 exons. Lineage: Eukaryota; Metazoa; Chordata; Aves; Anseriformes; Anatidae.